This is a transfer RNA of 82 nucleotides. It matches the Rfam family "tRNA". From Rfam's summary of the family: Transfer RNA (tRNA) molecules are approximately 80 nucleotides in length. The record is from Rfam.
GCCUCUAUAGCUCAGUGGUAGAGCGCUUGACUUGUAGCUUGAUGAUAUCAAGAGGUCCGUGGUUCAAUCCCGCGUGGAGGCA